GAUGAAGAACGCAGCGAAAUGCGAUAAGUAAUGUGAAUUGCAGAAUUCAGUGAAUCAUCGAAUCUUUGAACGCACAUUGCGCCCCUUGGUAUUCCGGGGGGCAUGCCUGUUCGAGCGUCAUUUCACCACUCAAGCCUCGCUUGGUAUUGGGCAACGCGGUCCGCCGCGUGCCUCAAACCGACCGGCUGGGUCUUCUGUCCCCUAAGCGUUGUGGAAACUAUUCGCUAAAGGGUGUUCGGGAGGCUACGCCGUAAAACAACCCCAUUUCUAAGGUUGACCUCGGAUCAGGUAGGGAUACCCGCUGAACUUAAGCAUAUCAAUAAGCGGAGGA
This 331-nucleotide unclassified non-coding RNA is filed under the name soil metagenome. RNAcentral describes it as "partial contains 5.8S ribosomal RNA, internal transcribed spacer 2, and large subunit ribosomal RNA". The stretch from base 1 to 120 matches the Rfam family "5.8S ribosomal RNA", at positions 35 to 154 of the family's 154-position model. The record is from RNAcentral.